RNAcentral lists this ribosomal RNA (251 nucleotides) under uncultured prokaryote. Its description in RNAcentral is "partial 16S rRNA". It matches the Rfam family "Bacterial small subunit ribosomal RNA", at positions 525 to 775 of the family's 1533-position model. The record is from RNAcentral.
ACGGAGGGUGCAAGCGUUAAUCGGAAUCACUGGGCGUAAAGCGCACGUAGGCUGUUUUGUAAGUCAGAGGUGAAAUCCCACGGCUCACCCGUGGAACUGCCUUUGAUACUGCUCAACUUGAGUCUGUGAGAGGGUGGCGGAAUUCCAGGUGUAGGAGUGAAAUCCGUAGAGAUCUGGAGGAACAUCAGUGGCGAAGGCGGCCACCUGGUGCAGUACUGACGCUGAGGUGCGAAAGCGUGGGGAUCAAACAG